This 1458-nucleotide ribosomal RNA is filed under the name Triticum aestivum (bread wheat). Its description in RNAcentral is "partial small subunit ribosomal RNA". The record is from RNAcentral. Lineage: Eukaryota; Viridiplantae; Streptophyta; Magnoliopsida; Poales; Poaceae.
AUGAAGUUAAUGCAUAAGCUAAAUCAGGAUCAGAGGAUGGCUUUUGACGUUAUAAUAGAAUCAGUCAACGACAGUCUUGGGAAAUUGAUUUUUGUUGACGGAUAUGGUAGAACUGGAAAGACAUUUCUUUGGAAAGCAGUCACGACAAAAUUAAGAUCUGAAGGAAAAAUAGUUCUAGCAGUUGCUUCAAGUGGUAUAGCAGCACUUCUUUUACAGGGUGGAAGAACAGCUCAUUCAAGAUUUCACAUUCCCCUCAAGAUCACUAAUGAGUCCACAUGCAACAUCAAGCAAGGAACAUUUCUUGCGGAGCUAAUAAAGAAAAUGUCACUGAUAAUAUGGGAUGAAGCACCUAUGACACACAAGCGCUGUUUUGAGGCACUAGAUAAAAGUUUGAGAGACAUACUUCGGUUCACAUAUGAGGACGCAGAGAAUAGACCAUUUGGAGGAAUGACAGUAGUCUUGGGAGGUGACUUCAGGCAAAUCCUACCAGUUAUACCGAAGGGGAAAAGAGAACAUAUCAUUUCUGCAUCAAUAAAGAGAUCCUACCUAUGGAAGAACUUUCAGGAGUACCGACUCAAAGAAAAUAUGUGUCUGAAUUCAUCCGAAGGUAGUCCAGAAGAGAAAGCAAAAAUAGCUGAAUUCGCAAACUGGAUACUAAACAUAGGUGAUGGCACAACGUCAACAAUAGAUCAAGAGGAUUGGGUUGGCAUCCCAGAGGACCUUAUUUUACAUGAAGGGGAUGACCCGAAAGCAUCUAUUGUUAACACCACCUAUCCUGACUUACACAGAAAAUACACUGAUAGAACAUACCUAGAGGAAAGAGCGAUCUUGUGCCCAAGAAACGAGACUAUUGACCAGAUUAAUGCAUACAUCAUGAGUCAAAUCCCUGGAGAAGAGGUAACCUAUUUCAGUUCAGAUACAACAUGCAAGGCAAUGUCUACAGUGGAAGAUGAAGAUAUGUUGUACCCAACUGAGUUUCUGAAUAGUCUUACAUUUUCUGGAAUUCCAGACCAUGAACUGAGGCUGAAAGUAGGAUUACCAAUAAUGCUUAUGAGGAACAUCAAUCAAAGUGCAGGACUUUGCAAUGGGACAAGACUAACAAUAACACAGCUAGGAAAGCGUUUCAUUGAAGGACAUGUCAUAACAGGUCCUAACGUUGGUGACAAAGUUUACAUCCCACGAAUUAUCAUGUCACCAAGUGAUUCAAAAUGGCCUUUCAUUCUAAAAAGGAGACAAUACCCAAUAUCAGUGUGCUUUGCGAUGACUAUAAACAAAAGCCAGGGGCAAUCUCUCAAAAAAGUUGGACUCUACUUAGAAAGGCAAGUGUUCACACAUGGACAACUCUAUGUUGCAAUGUCAAGGGUGACCAGCAGAAAUGGAUUGAAGAUACUCAUAUCAGAUGAAGAGCGUCCAUCCGACAAGGUUGCAAAAAACAUUGUUUACAAAGAUAUAUUAUAG